GUUAGGCAUGAAUGACACGAGUUGCCCCAUCUCUACAUGUGGCGUUCAUAUUCUGAUAAAAAAUGCUCAACCACAAUCAGGAUUUCUUGUGAAAUUCCUAUACUUCUUCAGAUGGAUGCCUUUUUUGUUGGGAACAACUCUUUAUCUACUUUAUCGAUUACUUGCCACAAAUGAUAAGGAUUAUAAAUAGUGCCCGCUAGCCAGGAUUUUAAUCAUAGCGAUUCUAAGGAAUAUGAUAAGGAUCAUCUGAUGGUUCUCUCUUUUAUGUUGCUUUGCGUUUCACUGCUCAGUGGUGUAUACAUGUUGUGUAUUUACGUGCGUGCCAAGCAGGAGAAGGAUCCUGAUUGUUAUUGUUUUGUUA
Helianthus annuus (common sunflower) is the source of this 361-nucleotide long non-coding RNA. RefSeq lists it as uncharacterized. The record is from RefSeq and is a predicted model, not a curated record. NCBI's taxonomy places the organism in Eukaryota, Viridiplantae, Streptophyta, Magnoliopsida, Asterales, Asteraceae. The transcript has 2 exons.